UUUCCGUAGGUGAACCUGCGGAAGGAUCAUUCAUAAUCAGUGUUUUAUGGCACUUUUUUAAUCCAUAUCCACCUUGUGUGCAAUGUCAGGGUUGAUUUUUCUCUCGAGAGGAUCAACCCCAAACAUCAACUAUAUCUCAACUCUUUGUCUGAAAAAUAUUAUGAAUAAAACAAUUCAAAAUACAACUUUCAACAACGGAUCUCUUGGCUCUC
Molecule: unclassified non-coding RNA, 212 nt
Filed under: plant metagenome
Description: partial contains small subunit ribosomal RNA, internal transcribed spacer 1, and 5.8S ribosomal RNA
Source: RNAcentral